This is a long non-coding RNA of Octodon degus (degu), 522 nucleotides long. RefSeq lists it as uncharacterized. The record is from RefSeq and is a predicted model, not a curated record. Lineage: Eukaryota; Metazoa; Chordata; Mammalia; Rodentia; Octodontidae. The transcript is spliced from 3 exons.
UCAAUGCCCGGUUCCGCAAAAAAAAAAAAGGAAAAGAAAAUAUUUUAUGGAAUCUAAAUAGUUAACAAAUUUCAGGGGCCUGCACUGUGUUUGAACACUUUCUUAAAUUUUCAUGUUUCCUGUGAUCUAAGUUUUUCGUACUGUAGCUCGUAGAUCCCAGCUCUAGCUAUUGUUCAGUGUUGACUGUCCUACAAGGAAAUUACACAUAUUUGGAAAACAUACACGAUGGAAGCCAGCUGUCUAAAACAUUAGAGGCCUGACUCCAAACAGAAUAUUCUUCUAGGCCAUAAUUCAGGCCACUCAUGUUUAAACUCAGUAAUGACAGGGAAAUUCCAAAACAGAGGAGCAAAUUCAAAUGCUAAAUUUAAUCCUGAUAAGGGGGUUUGUUGCAAUAUAUUGACUCUAUCCCUCACAUUAUGAGCAUGUGACAGAGAAAUAGCCUUUGUGACAACUGAGAAUGACAGUCUGAGCUGAAUAGACAACUUUAUUGAUAUAUAUAAAUAUAUAUAUUUAAUGAAAUAU